UCUGAAACGUUGGUUAACAUCGACCAGUCUACACAGCGCAACAACCCAGAAGACAGAAAUCUAAACCUUGGAAUAUUCAUGUUAAUACAUUAGUACUGGCAGAACAUGAAGAGUACAAAUUCAUAAUUGCUUCCUUGAGUAGUAUAAAUUCAGGUGAUGUGUAAUAUUUAUGGGUACAUAGAAACAAACUGAACUAUAAAACAAAUAACUGAACGUUUGGAUGCUUAGUUAGUGUAAUGUCAGAUGCUGACUUUUCAUGGUGAAAGCAUGGGUUCAAUUCAAUAACAGUCUGUGUGGGAUAUGUGGUAGAAUGGCACCGAAUUUUCCUCUAAUAAUUCAACCUAUACUACCACCAGCUGACAUUUUUCAGAUCUUUGUUUAUUACAUCAUUGCUGAAAUUGCUUCCAGUAUGAAGAGUCAACACAGGAGAGUGAUUUUCAUAGUAAUUUUAAUUAUAAUACUUGUAAUUUCUCACAAUUUGAAGGCACAAUCCUAAGAUAUUUUAGUCGUGAUUUGAAAUUCUGUUGGCCUUGUUUUUAUGCAUGUUGAGCCCAGACAAUGAUUAGCGAUUUUGAUGUUUGUGUGUACUUACUAUAGAAGAGGCUUAGUAUGACACAUCUGAUGCACUUGCAGAAAGGAAAAUGAUAGUGACAUGUUGUUUACUGUACAUAAUAAUUAUUACUAUCAUAAUAUAUAAUUUAUUAUAAAUAUGAUUACAUGAUAUUGCAUAGAUUUUAAUAACUGCUGACUAAAUUAAUUGAUUACUGUAUAAGGGUAAAAUGACCGACAAAGAGAGAAAUGAGACCACAAAGUUGUUCAGUCACAGGACCACAAUAAUGUCAUGCAUUUUGAGUUACUUGUCAAGGUUUGAUUAGAUACUAAUACUUUUUAUGUUACUAAAUCUGCCUUCUGUUGAUCUUCAAAACACUGAUCACAGCAAAUAUGGCAGAGUUUAGUGUGCAACUUAAAGAACUUGAUUCUUCAAAUAAUAAAAUUUGAACAUAAUGACUAUUGUUACUUUUUAGAGUGAUGUGAAUGCCUCAGUGACAUUUCUUAACAGUAACAUCAAAAAAAGAAACAUUGUUAGAUAAAUUUGUGUGAAAUAGAUGAUGCUGUAAUGGAGACAAGCAUGGAGAAUAUAUCAAAAUUUUCUUCACAUCAUAAAUAUUGACAGUAAGAAAGAAAAGAGGAUCCAAGACAUUUCAUUUUGUAUUUCCUUCAUAGAAAUGGUCAAUGACAAUAACAGCAUGUUGAAGGGUAACAGCUUUAGCAAAUACAUGUCCCAGGAUUAGUCCACAAUUUUAGUCCACCCAACAGUUACCCCACUUCAGUAACAUAUUCGUCACAAUGAAUUAAGGAGUCAGGAAGGAUGCAGGUUAACGAGCCAUGUCAGUAUUGAUUAAAAUAAUGUUCAUGAUCCAGUUUGUAAUUUUAAAAAUUGAUUAUAUCUUAAUUAAUGGCUUUGUAACAACACUUCACCUGCUUAAGUGAGAUGGUAUACAAAAACAGGAUGAUUAUGAAUGACGGAUUACAGCUCUUGUCUAUUUUUAAUAUACUAGUCUGGUAUCUAACCAGAGGGGUUGAGGAGAACCAUAAAAACCACAAUCAGUAUUGUUGGACCCAAGUAAAGAUUCAAAUCAGGUACCUUCAAAACAAAAAGUUCUGAUCACUACAAUUGGUGGUUAUGUAUCAGUCAGUCGUUACAGAUGUGAAUAAUUGCAGUCCUUUGUUACCAGUGUUGUUUCAUAAUAUUCAGAUGUACAACAAACUUUUUAAUACAUCCUUCUGCCAGUUUCUGAGGAGUCAUUCCUUAGUCAAGUCUUCUCAUUUCACCAAAUUAAAUGACUGAUAUUUUACUCCCAUCACAAGACUACAAGCAAGGUUCUAAGUUAUGUUGUGUUUCAUGAAUUGUAUUUUGAGUUAAAUCAUCACCAUAGUGAUAACAAACUACAUUAUCAACCCAAAUUAUAUUUUAUCACCUCAGCUGAAAUGGCUGUUGGUUAUAAAUUAAAACUCUCUUGGUUUCUAGUGUGUUAACUGAAUUCAGGCAUACACAUCUGUCGCGUAAAUGGAAACUUAACAUGUAAGUCACUUUAGAUGAGAACUAUAUUAUGAUUAGUAGCCUAUACAUUUUCACAUACGUGAGUACUGAAUUAAUUUUAUCUUGCUAAAUUUAUGUUUAUCCAUUGCCUUAUGGGAGUCAUAUACCUUGUCAAGGAUAGUUAAGCCCAAAUGACCUGCUUUGGCUGAAACCAAUGUGAUACCAUUUUGGGGAUCAUAUUUGCAUAGAUUGCAUGAGGCCCACAAGAUGGCCACUGCCACAAUUUAAAUGUGUUACAGAUCCACACUUCAUUAAUAACAACACAUAGCAAUAGUUAGGAAAGACAUUAAUAAUCAUCGUUCGACACUUAAUAAGACAGAUAUAUCACUUGUUCCUUCUUCCCCAGAUACAAGAAAUUUUACAUUUAAUAAUUGAGUAAAGUGACCGUGGAACAUUUUUGUAUCCCUACAACUCAUGGUCAGUAUAAUUUGACAGAAACAUCCACAUGUCAUAUCAGUGUACUUAAGAAUAUUCAUAAGUAACUCCUUUUUCCCUAAACUGGUUUUAAAUCUGUAUAUUACAAAAGAACGUGAAAUGAGAUGGGUGCCUGGGUUGUUGCAUCAUAUUGUCUGCUAGAAGUUUGUUGAUGUUUCAGAGGUGCUUACUGCCUCCAUCAUCACACACUGCCCUGAUGAUGGAAGCAGCAAGGACCUCUGAAACAUCAGUAAAUUUCUACUACAGUACAUGGCAAAACAACCCAAAAGACAGCAGUCAUCUUGCUAUUGUAAGAACCAGAAGUCUCAUUUAAUAUGAAACAACUCAGACACUGUGUUUGGAUGUCGAAGCAUUGAGCAGCUUUGUACUCUCAUUGAAGGUUAAUUCCAAGCAUCGAUCCUCAUUGUUGAUCUGAUAUUGUUGUUAACUGUGCAGUCGCCAUUAUAGAUCAUUAGUGUACAUAGUAAGCAUAUGGCCACAUGUAUGCAAAUAAUGUGUGGAUUCAUUCUGAUCCAAAUUAAUGAUUGACACAAUAUUUGUUACAUAUGUUGCUAAAAAUAAAUAUUGUUGUUAUAUUAAAGUUUGAAAGAGUGCCAAAGAAUAUUACAUUGAGUUUCUCUUGGCUUCAGGAAUUUGAGGUGGAAAGCUUCAAACUGAUACUCAACAUUCUAAAGAUGACGGUGCUUUUAAUUGUUGAUGAUUGCUCCCACUCAGAGCUUUUGUGUAACCCUGUGGCAUGUGAAACCACAUCGAAAUAUAUUUAUGUGAGUGCAGUGGAAACUUCAAGAUAGGCUCCACAGAGGAGACCUAGCAAGGACUGAAGCAGUAUUCAAUGUAAUUUCCAUAAAUGUUGCAGCAAAAAUAAAAUAAUGAAUACCCACUGCAUUUGUGACGGUGUGUCUGGCAACACUCCAAAGUCAUUAUCAGUAAGGUAAAUGAAGUUUGAUGCAACUGUGUAGGGCUGGUGUAUAGGGUAGGUCUAUGUUAAUAUUUGAAACAUUACAUAUUAUUUGUACUGUUACAAACAAUGUUAAUAAUUAAUGGAUCAAGUAGGCCUAUGACUGAAUUGUUACAGAAUUAUCAUUAUAAUUAUUAUUCUGUUGUGAUCAACAUUUUUUUCCUUCCUCCCCCAGAUGAAGAUGAAAUUGUCUUGACAGUGUGCAUUGUUGAAAUUAAUAUACUGUUCAGGGUUUGCACAAAUUUAGAUAUGGUGAAAGUUGCAGAUAUGUUUAAACUACAGGAAGAAUUUGGCAAAUCCAGUAAUUUACAUAUCUAUCAUUGCCUUACAAAAAAGAAUUUUACAGCUGUACUUUUACAAAUGUUGAUUUUAAUUUACAUUUUCAAAGAGUGAUCUUAACACUUAAAACCCUAACCUACAACCUCCACCUCAGAUAUUUGAAGAGUUGAUCUCCUUUGCCCUCAUAUUUUUCAAUUUAUACAAAUGCGGUGGACACUGUCAAAUUGUAAAUAUGCCAUUGUGAAGCAACUGUGACAGAUCCAGGAUGUGUUUUGUAAUAAACAAAACUUUUAAAGAUA
Non-coding RNA from Zootermopsis nevadensis, 4072 nucleotides. NCBI's taxonomy places the organism in Eukaryota, Metazoa, Arthropoda, Insecta, Blattodea, Termopsidae. The record is from RefSeq and is a predicted model, not a curated record.